Molecule: RNA transcript, 1749 nt
Organism: Cercocebus atys (sooty mangabey)
Lineage: Eukaryota; Metazoa; Chordata; Mammalia; Primates; Cercopithecidae
Gene name: keratin-associated protein 16-1-like
Exons: 1
Source: RefSeq, a predicted model, not a curated record
UUAUACUCAUAGACAGGACUGGGGGAAGGGCCGUUCCCGAGGCCGGGGUGCAGUGCCUUGGAAAGCACCCCCCAAACAGUAGACCUUGUAUUUUUAGUGUCCCCUGCAACCAUCCUUUGACUUGGAGCAAGAAUUUCCGCUGCUGCUACCCCCGAGAUGGGCUUCACCAGAUGUUAAUAACGUGCUUAUUUUUGCUAAGUGCUAUUUUGGCACCAGUGUUAGUUGCAAUUUAUAUUCUGCAGCAUUUGAUGCUGGGAAAAGAACCCACCCUAAUGGUCCCCAAUUGGCAGAGCUUGGCUGUUAAGUGUCAGACCAUAUGCUGCCUGCCGGAGGAGCGUGGUCAGCACUUGUCCCCGUGACUGCGUGCGUGUGCCUGCGUGUGUGUGCCUGCAUGCACGUGUGCAUGCGUGUACCUGUGCCCUGUGUGUGCACGUGUGACUGCAUGGGUGUGCCUGUGUGUACCUGUGCCCUGUGUGUGCACGUGUGCCUGCGUGCAUGUACCUGUGUGCAUGUGUGCCUGUGUGUAUCUGUGCCCUGUGUGUGCACAUGUGCCUGCGUGUAUGUGUGCCUGUGUGUGUGUGCCUGGGUAAACCUGUGCCCUGUGUGUGCAUGCGUGUGUGAGUCACGUCUUCCCUGUGUGAGUGUGAGGGAGAGACUGAGGGGUUGGAGAGAGGGUGGAGGGGAAAGGGUAUGUAUCCCUUUGUUCUUUAAAAGGGAGAGCUCCUACUUCUCUGGCUGCCCCGUCCUGCCUGUGCCCCCAGCUCACCCCAGACCUAGCUGCUAUUUAUUCUCCUGACUUCCUCCUGGCCCUGCGGCCCCAUGGCCCUGUGGCCUGUGACCCUGCAGCCCCUUGUCCCGAAGCCUCCGCCCCGCCGCCUGCUCCAUGUCACCAGGCAACACUGGGCCCCACCAGGCUUCUGAAGGUGGCCCAGGGCAGGCACUUGAGCCUGAGGACCCAGAGCAAAGGUGCCUUUCUGGGCCUUGGGUGCUCCUCUCUGCUGUAUGAGGCUUUUCUCGCUUUCAAGGGCCCGUCCAGCCCAGGGGAGCUGGGUGAGGGCUGCUUCCUUCUGCAGCAGAGGAGGCGGGCUCUAUCCCUGCCAUCCGCUGCCCCCAGACGCCCUGCCAGGACACAGGCCUGAGACGUUUCUUCUCCAAGAGGCCAUCCCGGGACCUGUGUGUGCACAGGGCGGGAGGACACUCGCUGCUUCAACCCAGGACUGCAGCCAGGAUGGGCUGAGCUCCUCUGGCGCUAAAAACACACAAGGCGUGCCUGUCAGCUCAGCAGCGCCCUCCCUCAACCACUCCCUGUGCCCGGACCCAGAGCCACAGGCCUUUGGGCCCAGGGGACUGGGGCUGGGCUCAGGCUUGGGCCUGGGGGGCUCAUGGAGGGGCCAGGCCUAGAGCAGUAGGGCUGCAACAGCUGAGGGCUGGGCCCCUGCCAGCCAAUGAAGCUCCAGAUCAGUGUCCCGGCCUUGGAGGUGCCAGCAGUGCUCCUGCAGGGAUGGAGGGUGCUGGAGCCCUGGAUGCGGAGACCCUGAUCUCCCAGCAGGCAGUGCUGUGACAGCCUCCCACCUCCUCUUCCCCUGUUAUCUGCUCGUUUUAGGAUCUGAAAAUGACAGAUUUUUUUUUUUUGAGAGGGAGUCUUCCUUUGUCCCCCAGGCUGGAGUGCAGUGGCACGAUUUCGGCUCACUCACUACAACCUCUGCCUCACAGGUUCAAACGACUCUCCCACCUCAGCCUCCCGAGUAG